AGAGUUUGAUCCUGGCUCAGAUUGAACGCUGGCGGCAUGCCUUACACAUGCAAGUCGAACGGCAGCGCGGACUUCGGUCUGGCGGCGAGUGGCGAACGGGUGAGUAAUACAUCGGAACGUACCCUGUUGUGGGGGAUAACUAGUCGAAAGAUUAGCUAAUACCGCAUACGACCUGAGGGUGAAAGUGGGGGACCGCAGGGCCUCACGCAGCAGGAGCGGCCGAUGUCUGAUUAGCUAGUUGGUGGGGUAAAGGCCCACCAAGGCGACGAUCAGUAGCUGGUCUGAGAGGACGAUCAGCCGCACUGGGACUGAGACACGGCCCAGACUCCUACGGGAGGCAGCAGUGGGGAAUUUUGGACAAUGGGGGCAACCCUGAUCCAGCAAUGCCGCGUGUGUGAAGAAGGCCUUCGGGUUGUAAAGCACUUUUGUCCGGAAAGAAAUCGCGCUGGUUAAUACCUGGCGUGGAUGACGGUACCGGAAGAAUAAGCACCGGCUAACUACGUGCCAGCAGCCGCGGUAAUACGUAGGGUGCGAGCGUUAAUCGGAAUUACUGGGCGUAAAGCGUGCGCAGGCGGUUUUGUAAGACAGGCGUGAAAUCCCCGGGCUUAACCCGGGAAUUGCGCUUGUGACUGCAAGGCUAG
This 641-nucleotide ribosomal RNA is filed under the name uncultured bacterium. RNAcentral's name for it is "bacterial SSU rRNA". It matches the Rfam family "Bacterial small subunit ribosomal RNA", at positions 8 to 644 of the family's 1533-position model. The record is from RNAcentral.